Molecule: small nuclear RNA, 307 nt
Filed under: Erinaceus europaeus (western European hedgehog)
Lineage: Eukaryota; Metazoa; Chordata; Mammalia; Eulipotyphla; Erinaceidae
Description: 7SK RNA
Rfam family: 7SK RNA
About the family: 7SK was discovered as an abundant small nuclear RNA in the mid-70s but a possible function has only recently been suggested. Two independent studies have found that 7SK RNA binds the CDK9/cyclin T complex (known as elongation factor P-TEFb).
Source: Rfam by way of RNAcentral
GGAGGGCAAUCUGGCUGUGGCAUCUGCCACCCCAUUGAUCACCAGGAUUGAUUCAGCUGAUCUGGCUGACUAGGUGAGUGUCCCCUUCCUCCUUCACUGCUCCAUGUGUGUCCCACCCAAGCUUCCUGCUCUGUCGAAGAGGACGGCCUUCCCCGAAUAGAGAUGGACAAACUUUGGUUGAGGGGUUGAGGGUAUAUGAGUAGCUGCACUCCCCUGCUAGAACCUUUAAACAAACUCUCAAGAAUAGGAAGACUUCCAAUGGAGGGGAUGGGAUAUGGCACUCUGGUAGUGAGAACUGUACCCCUCU